Molecule: ribosomal RNA, 1516 nt
Filed under: Triticum aestivum (bread wheat)
Lineage: Eukaryota; Viridiplantae; Streptophyta; Magnoliopsida; Poales; Poaceae
Description: partial small subunit ribosomal RNA
Source: RNAcentral
ACGCGUACGUAGAUAUAGAUAUUCUUCCAUGAUGCAAAAGAGAUGCAUUCCUUCUUCGUUCUUCGUCCAUCGUCGAUCGUAUGGUGUGAGCUAGCUAGUAUGUGUAUGUGGUACGGCCGGCGCGUCGUGUAGCUUGCUCUGGUUCUGGAGCGGUACUCGUCGCUGCUCAAUGAAGUUCGAGUCGACCUCGAGAUGGUGGUGCCGGAGCGGAAGCAGUUCAGUGACCGCGAGUUCCGGCGGUGCCUGGACGCGUAGGGGCUGCGGUAGGUGGCGGCGCCGCCGCGGCGGUGGAACAGGCUCGACCGGAGGCUGUGGCCCUAGGUGGGGUGCUUCGCGAGGUUGGAGGCCGCCCAGUACGCCCACGAGUGGUGGUGGCCCCAUAAGAGGUAACAGGUUCCGUUUCCGUCGUUGCUGGUGCGGCCACUACCGCGACGCAUAAUGUUCGAGUGCGCCCAGAGGGCCGAGGAACAGCUCUCUAGUGGCGUGUUGGACAGGGGCUACCACCCGUGGUAGCAGUUGUGCAAUACGACCUGGAGAGAGGAGUUUUACGGGCUCACCAAAUGGGUUCCGGUUCUCCCUCUCAGCCGUGUCAGCGUGAGCGAGCAGGUCGACCGGUUGCCGACGUGCAAGACCCUGUGGUGGUUCCAGCUACCGCCGAACAAGUUGCUGCCGUACCGGCGCCUGUCGGCGUAGCGGUACUUCCAGGACAACUUCCUCGUGCCGCCUCGCAAGUCCCUUCACUUUUCGAGCGACCACCUGUAGCCGCCGUUGGUACCGCGGUGGCGCAGCCGGCACCGCUCUCGCAAGGGCGUGGAGUUCACGUCGCAAGACCUGGAGGGUGUGCAGCAGCGGCGCCGAGGGCGGUCGCUGUAAAACUGGAAGCAGCGGCCUUUAUACAAACUCAUACAGGGUGGACGCCUACGACAAGAUGAGUUCACCUAAAACGUACUGACCUUUGUGCUUCUGACGCAGUUCUAUUACGCGGCCACGUUCCUUCGCUAGGGUCGCUUUCUUCGGCCUCCUUUCCACUAUUAGUAGCUGUACCACCACCCUAUAGGCCACUGAGUCGGGUUGGUAAGGUUUCUCCGCGUCCAAAACAAUCUAUAGAUGUACUACCCGAGGCUACCUUACCUCGCUCUCCUUUUGCUCACCUCGAACUAAAAGAGGCUUCGGCCCAAGUCGCUGAUGUUCUAGUGAGCUUGGUUACCCUAAGCUAGUUAAUAGCUUCAUAUGGGAAUUUACAUGAAUGAAGGUGAAGCCUCUAUGAUAGAGGAAGGCAGGCAUGCACAAAUAAUCAGAACGUGCACAUUAAUUGAACCAUUUAAUCGUCGGUUCUAUGUGCACGUUCUGAAUAUUUGACCUUUCCUUCCUCAGCAGUAAACUAAACAUUAUUUAGAGUGGUCCUUGAGAGACAUAAUAACGUAAAUUCAAAAUGAAAAACAAAUAUCUAAAAAGUUUAAACGAAGAGAAAUCAAAUAAAGUAAAAAAGGUGAGUCACAUGGUUAGGAUACUUUAG